CUGACCUCAAAUCAGGUAGGACUACCCGCUGAACUUAAGCAUAUCAAUAAGCGGAGGAAAAGAAACUAACAAGGAUUCCCCUAGUAACUGCGAGUGAAGCGGGAAAAGCUCAAAUUUAAAAUCUGGCGGUCUUUGGCCGUCCGAGUUGUAGUCUGGAGAAGUGCUUUCCGCG
RNAcentral lists this ribosomal RNA (172 nucleotides) under Trametes maxima. Its description in RNAcentral is "partial 28S ribosomal RNA". It matches the Rfam family "Eukaryotic large subunit ribosomal RNA", at positions 1 to 169 of the family's 3401-position model. The record is from RNAcentral. Lineage: Eukaryota; Fungi; Basidiomycota; Agaricomycetes; Polyporales; Polyporaceae.